CAGGCUGCAGGUGGGAUCAAAUGCAGCCAUUUACCUUGUGGCCCCAGGCCAGCGUCCUCCAGCCCUGGUUCUCUUGACCAUAAGCUCCUCUCUGGGCUUAUGGGAGCUGGCCUUAACCUCCUGGGGGCGCCAUUCAGCUGGCCACACACCAUGGACUAGACUGUCUGCUUGUCUUUGUAGGAGCCUGCUGGUCAGCCCCCCCCCCCACAUCUCUUGGAACCUAAUCUAUUGAACAGAGCUCCCUGCUCCCACCUGUCUGCCCUUUGUGGUUUCGAAGAGCCGUGAAGGGGGCUGUGUGGGGAAAAGAAUUUCAAAGCUUGCAAAACUCCAAACUUUUUUUUAAAAUCUGGGGUGUCCCAUUCUCUGUCCCUUCCCUGUAUUAGGGGUCAUAAGUCCCCAUGGUGGGGUCACCUGACUCCCACACAGUUUCCCCAGAUGGUAGGGAAGAGGAAAAAGGAGAAAGACUCCCCAUGUGCCCUGGGGACAAAGUCGGGGCAGAGGGUGGAGGGUGUCAGGGUCUGUAACUUACUCCAGGUGUUGCAGAGAAGAGAAGGCUGGAAGGAUCUUUGCCAGUGUGGGGAAAGCCUGGGGGCCCAAGAUGGGGCCCAACCUAGGAAGCAAUCAACAGUAGAGGUCAGACAGGUCAGACACCUAAACGGCCAGUGGAGUGCAAAGAUGCAGAACAGUCUGAGGCUCCCUCCCUGACUCCCUAGUGUCUUAUCCCUGCCUGCUGGGCUCUCAAUGGCCCACUGUGCUGCUCUGCCACUGCUCUGCUCAGGACCACCCAGAGGCCUGCUGGGACGCUCCCACUUCACUUUCUGCUUUCAGCAGCAAGCCUGUCCUCACUGCUGCUCAUGUCUAUACAUGCUCACCCUUGCCUGGUGAAGAAGUCCCCACACCAGCCAAGGUCUGUUCCCAGGGUCACACCAGAUUGCAUGAGCUUCUGUUUUUAAAUAUAUUUUCUCUCCCUCCCCUCCUUCCCCCUCUCCCUCCCUUUCCCUCCCCCUCUCCUCUGUGUGUGUGUGUGUGUGUGUGUUUAUGUGCACAGAUACAGAGGCCACUGAACCUGCAACUCACUAAUUCAGUACACUGGGAAAACCUCAUUUCUCCCCCAAUGCUAGGAUACUACUUGCAUAGAGUUAGUAUUGAGAUAAAGAACUUGGUUCAUGGUCUGGACCGUGAUGUCCAGGAGGCUUACUCCAGGUGCUGCAGGGAAGAAGGCUGGAAGGAUCUUGUCAGUGUGGGGAAAGCCUGGGGGGGCCCAAGAUGGGACCCAACCCCAUUCUGGAUCACCCAUGAGCUUUCCCAUUCAGUCACUGCUUAUGAGAGAUAAGAAAUGCUGCAGACAGAUUCACUGUGGGGGAGUUCAGGAAGGGUCUCAGAACACCGAGAGACAAGGUCAGUGGGGUCAAAGUGCCUGCACCCAACCUGGGACCUGAAUUUUGUCCCUGAGACCGGCAUGGUAGAAAGAGCCAAAUUGUUCUCUAACCUCCACAACAGGGCACACAUGCGCACACACAUAUCCAAAUAAACAAGAAAAAAAAAAAAAAAAACAGAGGAAAGUGAGGGCCAGCGUGGACCUGCUGCAUAGGGAAGAGCAUUCAGGGCAGAGGCACUGCCCCACAGUGGCCCAGAGACCGGGGGCUGGGUCUUGUUUCAGGAGAAAGCGGGAAGAGGGAGCAUAGAGAAGCCAGCUCUCGAGCCUAGGCCUCCAACCUAAGAUGUGUAAGAUGACUGAAGUGAUUCUCCUGCCUCUACCCUAGAUGCUGGGACCACAGAUGUGUGUCCCCAUGCCGUGUAGAUAGCGCUGGAGAUCGAACCAGGGCUUGUGCCUACUAGGAAGGACUCUGCCGACUGAGCCACAUGUAUCCGCCUCCGCCUCCGCUCAUGUGAGAGUUUUUAAGUGGACUGAUCAGACAGUCAAAGAGGCCUGCAGGGUGGGGAACAUGGGGGUGGCUGCAAGAGACACCCUAAAAUAGCCCCCCUUGUUUCCUUCCUUUCUUCCUCAGAACUGUCUCAGGACUCCCAGCAUGUAGGUGGCUGUUGGCCUGGCUCUAGCCUGUUCCACCCCGCAGCCUCUGGUACCCAGAGUGCAGUUCCGAUCACCAGGGAGGGGCUUUUUUAUGCUGAAAAUAAUUCAAAGCCAGAAAACACCCUGCGGCUGUCUUCAGACAUUUCCUCUUUUUAGCAAUAUUUUUACCUUUGUACAUAUUUGGCACCUUAUGUCCUGUUGAAAACAAGAGAAACUUGGUUAUCUGUGGGGGGUGCAGGGAAGCUGGCAGCGAGUGUGUGGCCAGCUGGGACCGCAGGCAAAUCACUAACAUCACCAAGCCUCAGUUUCCAAAUCUGUCCAAUGACUGUCUUCCAGGGCUACUCUUCUCAUGAAGGGGACUUUAUGUAAAAUGACCUGAGGAUCUUGUGGGUAGCUCUCUUUGUUUUGAGACAAGGUCUUCCUGGCUGGAGUGAUCUCAUCUCUAAGAGGACCAAACACUGACAAGAGUUUGCUAGUCAGCCAGGCAAGCUAACCUGGUGUUUAUAACGCUGAAGAAACUACUUCAUCUCUGGUCUCACUAUGCCCAUUUGUAAGUGAGAGUUGACAUCAAUGUCCUUCUCCCCAACUGUCUAGGAUAUGAAGUGAAGUGUUUUACAGGUGGAAUGCUGUGUUAGAGCCGGGUGGUGGAAUAGGCACGCAAUCCUGGGUAGGUACUUGGCAGGGCUGAGGCAAGGAGAGCAAAAGUUCAAGGCUAGACUAAAUAUUAAAACCCCAUUCAAAAUAACACACACACACACACACACACACACACGAAUGGGAUGGGAAUGUAGCUGAAUUGCAGAGUGUCUGCUUAACAUGCACAAAGCCCUGGGUUCUAUCCCUUGCACCACAUAAGUUUGGCGUGGCAGAGUGUGCCUAUAACCCUAGCAUUUGGGAGGUAGAGGCAGGAAGAUGAGAAGUUCAAAGUUAUAUAGCUUGGCUUGGUUUAUAUAGCAAGUUUGAAGCCAGCAUGGAGUAUAAACAAACAAGCAAAUAAAUGGGUAGGGAUGUACCUCAGUGGUAGAGUGCCUGACAGGUAUGCACAAGGCCCUGGACUCAACCCUCAGCACUGGGGGAAAAGUUGUUCAGGCAGCCAGACUUAAAUAACUCUUGGGGCUCUUCAGGGCCCGUGUACUGGACAGGGCUCCCCUGUCAUAGCCCAGGCACCCUCUGCUCUCUAGAACCUACUGCUUCCUAUCAUCUCUAUUCCUGCUACCCUGGCUACACAGGGUGGGGGACCAAUUGUCCCAGUUUGCUGAGAUGGAGUGGAUCCUAAGCAUGCAAGACUCUCAGUGCCCAACCAGACCGGUCCUAGUCAAGCUGGCACCCAAUUCGCUGAGCCACCCACUCAACUUUCUCAAGAAGGAUCCUUCUAACAGAGGCAAGUAUGCAUGUGCAUAUGUGUCUGAGUGUGUACAUGUGAAAUUAUGUGCUAUAUGUUGUGCAUAAGUAUAAAUCACGUGUGUAUGCAUAUGCAUGUGUGUUAUAUGUAUGAGUGUGAAUGUGUACAGUGUGUGUGUACAUGCACAUGUGUCUGCAUUGCCCUGUAAAUGGCCAAUUCUCUGCUGCUCUGAGUGACCCCUGCACUUACCCAAACAAGCCGCACUCAGCAGAGGAAGGCUACUUUCCCAGUGGUUAAGUGAGUGGGCAGGAGUCAUCCAAUCUCUCCCCUUCUGCUCACCUUGUCACUGCCCCAAGAUCAGUGAAGAUGGCAGAAACAACCUUGGGGCAAUGAGGUGGUUUCUCCCUUCACUUACGCAAACUCUAGCUUCUUAAGGUCCCGGAUGGCAGGAAGAUCCUUGGCUGCAUCUUCUGAGGGGUUUCUCAGCCUAUACAGAAAGGGCUUUGGGAUCUCUAUGUUCUCACCAAAGCCUUCCUCUGCUCCAAUGUGCUCUACUUUGGAGAAACACCAGAGACUCACAUCACAAUCACAGAAUCCCCGGGAAAGCCACCAUGAGGAGGUGUGGCUGUCAGCCAUUUCUUCAGGUCAGGAAGGACUAAAGACUGAGCCUAGAUCAACUUCUCCCGACUUACUGAAGAGGUCCUUGCUCAGGCCCUCGAGCUGGGUAUCCUGGAACACGUACUGAUCCAGUUCCGCUGCCAGAUAAAGAAGCACACGGUCAGUCAAAAAGGUUCCCACGGAAGGCGGCGGUGGUGCGUGCCUCAGAGAAGAUCUUAGUUCGAGGCCAGCCUGGUCUACAAAGUUCCAGGACAGCCAGGGUGAUGUAGAGAGAUCCUGUCUUAAAACCAAAAACCAAAACCAACCAAACAAAGGAUCUCCUGAAAUCUUGCUGUGUGUCUAGCCGCAGGCUAAGGACCUUCUGGGCUGGUGCACAGUAGGGUCUUUAUAAAGGUUACUGAGUAUGUUUUGAAUGAAUGAGCAAACAGACAUAGCUUUUCAUGUGUUUUCUGUCUUAUUAGAUAAGGAAAGCAUGUGCCCAUGAAAAUGUCUGCCACUGGGCUGAGUUCAAAUUCUGCCUCUAUUCUCCACUAGCUCCCUCUGCUGGACCUCCUUGGGCUGGCUGCUUAAUGUUUCUGGUUCCUGUUUCCUCAUCUCAGUGAAGAGAACAAAUAGUGGGUGUUAGCCAGAGGUGGGCAGCAACGUUAGAAGUAUGUUGUAGGACAACUGGCAGAGUCUGUCCUAUCUUCCCACUACCUGACUCCUGGGGCUUAAAUUCAGCUCAUCAGGCUUGGUGGCAAACGCUGUUACCCCAUGAAGCUACUUUGAUGGACAUGCCUUGUCAAACUGCUCAAUUUCAGACACUUCCUUUUUGUAUUUAAGUCAGUGCUUGGAAGUGUGGAGCCUUGGCAUGGGAUUUCAGAUCUGCCAUCUGACUCAGCCUUGAGGCCACUUCAUCUCUCUCCACCUUAAUUUCCUCCUCUGUGAAUAGAAGAUUCUCACGUCACAGACUUCAUCGGCUGCUCCAAGGCGUCAGUGUGGUCUUACGGGUGUAAAAACCAACACGUUGCCAGUGUCGACUGAUGCAUGGCGGCUCAUUGGCUUAGGUGCUGGGGAAGGGUGUGUGGUGUGGGCUUUGUGUAAAAGAGGAGCAGAAAAAAAUGGAAAUGGAAGUGUAGAGCUGGAUGUGGUGCGUGCUGUGGUUCCACAGCCGAGGCUGGAGCAUUGCCAUGAGUUUGAGACUGGACUGGAAUACAUAGUGAGUCCCAGAACAGCCUGGGCUACAAAAGA
Molecule: long non-coding RNA, 5222 nt
Organism: Mus musculus (house mouse)
Lineage: Eukaryota; Metazoa; Chordata; Mammalia; Rodentia; Muridae
Product: predicted gene, 57630
Exons: 2
Source: RefSeq, a predicted model, not a curated record